Sapajus apella (tufted capuchin) is the source of this 1111-nucleotide RNA transcript. It is a transcript of the gene named phosphopantothenate--cysteine ligase pseudogene, with no coding region annotated. The transcript has a single exon. The record is from RefSeq and is a predicted model, not a curated record. NCBI's taxonomy places the organism in Eukaryota, Metazoa, Chordata, Mammalia, Primates, Cebidae.
AUGUUUUACCUGGCUGCGGCCAUGUCAGAUUUCUAUGUUCCUGUCUCUGAAACUCCUGAAUACACGAUCCAGUCAUCAGGGGGCCCAUUUCAGAUAAUGAUGAAGAUGGUGUCAAAAAUGCUUCUCCUUUGGUUAAAGAUUGUGCUCCCAAAGCAUUUAUAAUUUCCUUUAAGUUGGAGACUGACCCCUCCAUUGUAAUUACUCGAGCUCAGAAGGCUUUGGAAGUGUAUCAGCAUCAAGCGGUGGUGGCUAAUAUCCUUCAGUCAUGACAGUCCUUUGUGGUUAUUAUAACCAAAGACUCCGAAACCAAGUUAUUGCUAUCAGGGGAAGAAACAGAAAAAUACAUAGAGAUAGAAGAGAAGAUAGUGGAUAAUCUUCAGUCUCAACACACAGCUAUAAUAUGUGACAAAAACUGAAGUAAAAAGCCCUUACAGGAUCAAAAAUUGUCCAGGGCUCUUACAGAUGGUGAAAACUGUAAUAAAACCUUGCUUUCAUAUGGACAGAGAAAAUAAAGGAAAUGGAAACGGCAGUGGUAAGCAGGCAGACAUGGUUUGGUAUUUGUCUGUUAAUGACACGUGAUACAUUCAUCUGAAUGUCAUCUUGAUUUUGAAAUUGAACAUGAGAACUGUUUCUCACCUUGAAAAAGAAGAGCUUAUUGGGAAUUAUCUAUUCCUUAAAAUACACAUGGGGGCCUGGAUAUCAGCCUUCUUCAUACUAUAAAAAGAGGACUAUGGAUGCAUGAAUGGUCAUGCUUUGGAAAUCAAAUAAUUGUUGAGUGCCUAUUGUGUGUCAGGCACUGUGCUGAGCCAUGAGGAUUAAAAAGAUGAAUAAACAUGUUGUUGUUUUUUUUUAAAAAAGCCACAUUUGUUAUACAAUGAGAAUUUAACAUAGCUUAAUUGUUGGUGCUAUAUUUCUCUGGUUCUCCCCAUCCACCACUGCUUCUAAUUUCUACCAUUGUUUUUACUGUGCAGUUUAUACUUUUAUACCCCGAUAAUUCAUUUAUUCAUUUAGUCUUAGCAUCAUGAAGGUACUAGGAAUAUAUUAUUUAUUUCUUUAUUUUGAGACAGAGUUUCACUCUUGUUGCCCAGGCUGAAGUGCAAUAGCACCAUCU